UCUCUGCCCCGGGUGCGUCGCAGCCCCGGACCAAGGCGCCCGCCGGAGGACCAACCAAAACUCUUAUUGUAUACCCCCUCGCGGGUUUUUUUAUAAUCUGAGCCUUCUCGGCGCCUCUCGUAGGCGUUUCGAAAAUGAAUCAAAACUUUCAACAACGGAUCUCUUGGUUCUGGCAUCGAUGAAGAACGCAGCGAAAUGCGAUAAGUAAUGUGAAUUGCAGAAUUCAGUGAAUCAUCGAAUCUUUGAACGCACAUUGCGCCCGCCAGUAUUCUGGCGGGCAUGCCUGUCCGAGCGUCAUUUCAACCCUCGAACCCCUCCGGGGGGUCGGCGUUGGGGAUCGGCCCUGCCUUGGCGGUGGCCGUCUCCGAAAUACAGUGGCGGUCUCGCCGCAGCCUCUCCUGCGCAGUAGUUUGCACACUCGCAUCGGGAGCGCGGCGCGUCCACAGCCGUUAAACACCCAACUUCUGAAAUGUUGACCUCGGAUCAGGUAGGAAUACC
RNAcentral lists this ribosomal RNA (498 nucleotides) under Trichoderma sp. P-5. RNAcentral's name for it is "partial internal transcribed spacer 1, 5.8S ribosomal RNA, and internal transcribed spacer 2". The stretch from base 144 to 297 matches the Rfam family "5.8S ribosomal RNA". RNAcentral also lists the same sequence under 1 other name. Lineage: Eukaryota; Fungi; Ascomycota; Sordariomycetes; Hypocreales; Hypocreaceae. The record is from RNAcentral.